GGGUCUGUAGUCUAGCGGCUAAAAGAAAAAAAAGAAAUAUUUCCGCAAAUGACGUCGCCUUCACAUGGCGGAGGUCAGGAGUUCAAGUCUCCUCAGACCCA
RNAcentral lists this transfer RNA (101 nucleotides) under Nanobdellota archaeon. RNAcentral's name for it is "tRNA-Val". It matches the Rfam family "tRNA". Rfam says of the family: Transfer RNA (tRNA) molecules are approximately 80 nucleotides in length. Their secondary structure includes four short double-helical elements and three loops (D, anti-codon, and T loops). Further hydrogen bonds mediate the characteristic L-shaped molecular structure. tRNAs have two regions of fundamental functional importance: the anti-codon, which is responsible for specific mRNA codon recognition, and the 3' end, to which the tRNAs corresponding amino acid is attached (by aminoacyl-tRNA synthetases). tRNAs cope with the degeneracy of the genetic code in two manners: having more than one tRNA (with a specific anti-codon) for a particular amino acid; and 'wobble' base-pairing, i.e. permitting non-standard base-pairing at the 3rd anti-codon position. Lineage: Archaea; Nanobdellati; Nanobdellota. The record is from RNAcentral.